Molecule: long non-coding RNA, 330 nt
Organism: Scomber japonicus (chub mackerel)
Lineage: Eukaryota; Metazoa; Chordata; Actinopteri; Scombriformes; Scombridae
Exons: 3
Source: RefSeq, a predicted model, not a curated record
CUCAUGACAGGCUGCUGCAGGCUUCCGACAACAAACAUCACAUCGUUGUUUUAAACCCAGGCCUUUUUGACAUUAUAAAUAAAACCUAAAAGCGAUAUUGUGCGUUUUUAAACAUGCAGUAAAAUAUUUUGACGAUUAUUUUUUUGGAUAUAUUUAUUAACAAUGGCGGAAGUAGAGGAGCAGGCCAGAAAACCUAGUGAGGAAUUCACAGAUGAAUCUGAGGAGGAGGACAGCGAGGAGGAGCCCAAGCUGAAAUACGAGCGUCUCUCCAACGGUGUGACAGAAAUCCUGCAGAAGGACGCGGCCAGCUGCAUGACCGUCCAUGACAAG